CUUUUUUUUGCCAACCUCUGAGUCCAUGACCCUAUCAGCUCUUGGCUACUGUAUGUCUUCCCAGUCAUUCACAGGGAGGCAUUGUGGUAAAUGGCCUAAUUAACAUCAGUAUAUCAACAAUUGAGAAGCGCUAUGAGUUGAACAGCUCCCUUACUGGCUUGAUAUCUGCAAGCUAUGACAUUGCUUUUUGUGUAUUGUCAUUGUUUGUAUCUUUCUUUGGAGAAAGAGGGCACAAACCACGAUGGCUGGCUUUCUCAGCUUUUAUGCUAGGAUUGGGCUCACUUGUAUUUUCCUUACCACACUUCAGUAGUGGAAAAUAUCACUAUGGAGCUAAACUUGAAGAUACAUGUCAAAUUUCAGGAGCAAGCUCUGCUAAUUUCACUUGCAGUGCCAGCACAAAGUCUUCACUUUCCAAUUAUCUGUAUGUCUUUAUACUGGGACAGCUGCUGCUGGGAGUUGGAGGAACUCCACUAUAUACUUUGGGGACAGCUUUUAUUGAUGAUAGUGUUCCAAAGCACACAUCUUCCCUUUAUAUAGGAAUUGGCUAUGCCAUGUCAUUGCUUGGGCCUGCUAUUGGCUAUGUCUUAGGAGGACAGCUGCUUAGUAUUUACAUUGAUAUCAAGAUCCCAGAAAGUACACAGAUGGACCAAGAUGACCCACGCUGGCUUGGAGCAUGGUGGAUAGGAUUCCUUGCAUGCUUUUUUGCAAUGUGGUUUCUGAUAAUACCAUUUUCUUGCUUUCCGAAAUACUUGCCAGGAACAGCAAAAAUACAGGCAGAAAAAAUCUCUGAAACCCAUAAUGAUGGAAGUGAG
RNAcentral lists this long non-coding RNA (812 nucleotides) under Gallus gallus (chicken). Its description in RNAcentral is "long non-coding RNA NONGGAT011921". The record is from RNAcentral. Lineage: Eukaryota; Metazoa; Chordata; Aves; Galliformes; Phasianidae.